AUUGAACGCUGGCGGCAGGCCUAACACAUGCAAGUCGAACGGUAACAGGAAGAAGCUUGCUUCUUUGCUGACGAGUGGCGGACGGGUGAGUAAUGUCUGGGAAACUGCCUGAUGGAGGGGGAUAACUACUGGAAACGGUAGCUAAUACCGCAUAACGUCGCAAGACCAAGAGGGGGGCCUUCGGGCCCCUUGCCAUCGGAUGGGGCCAGAUGGGAUUAGCUAGUAGGUGGGGUAACGGCUCACCUAGGCGACGAUCCCUAGCUGGUCUGAGAGGAUGACCAGCCACACUGGAACUGAGACACGGUCCAGACUCCUACGGGAGGCAGCAGUGGGGAAUAUUGCACAAUGGGCGCAAGCCUGAUGCAGCCAUGCCGCGUGUAUGAAGAAGGCCUUCGGGUUGUAAAGUACUUUCAGCGGGGAGGAAGGGAGUAAAGUUAAUACCUUUGCUCAUUGACGUUACCCGCAGAAGAAGCACCGGCUAACUCCGUG
RNAcentral lists this ribosomal RNA (489 nucleotides) under uncultured bacterium. Its description in RNAcentral is "partial 16S ribosomal RNA". It matches the Rfam family "Bacterial small subunit ribosomal RNA", at positions 30 to 507 of the family's 1533-position model. The record is from RNAcentral.